Molecule: ribosomal RNA, 483 nt
Filed under: uncultured bacterium
Lineage: Bacteria
Description: partial 16S ribosomal RNA
Rfam family: Bacterial small subunit ribosomal RNA
Source: RNAcentral
GACGAACGCUGGCGGCGUGCUUAACACAUGCAAGUCGAACGCUGAAGCUCAGCUUUUGUUGGGUGGAUGAGUGGCGAACGGGUGAGUAACACGUGAGUAACCUGCCCCCUUCUUUGGGAUAACGCCCGGAAACGGGUGCUAAUACUGGAUAUUCACUGGUCUUCGCAUGGGGGUUGGUGGAAAGGGUUUUUCUGGUGGGGGAUGGGCUCGCGGCCUAUCAGCUUGUUGGUGGGGUGAUGGCCUACCAAGGCUUUGACGGGUAGCCGGCCUGAGAGGGUGACCGGUCACAUUGGGACUGAGAUACGGCCCAGACUCCUACGGGAGGCAGCAGUGGGGAAUAUUGCGCAAUGGGCGCAAGCCUGAUGCAGCGACGCCGCGUGAGGGAUGGAGGCCUUCGGGUUGUGAACCUCUUUCGCUCAUGGUCAAGCCGCAACAAUGGUUGUGGUGAGGGUAGUGGGUAAAGAAGCGCCGGCUAACUACGUG